UCCUAGUAAACAUUUUUAAUCAAAGAUGAACUAUUUAGGACUCAGUGUGUCACAGACCUAUAGAUACCCACAUAUGAAGAACGUGGAGGUCUCACAAACAGCCUGUUUUCUGCUGUCAGUUAUGGAACAGAAACACUUGAUUUUCCUCUCCCUCAUAAUGUUGUUCCACUCUGGCUUCUCGCACCUGAUGGGUUUUGUCUUGGCAGUUGUCUCACUGAGAAAGACAUAAAGCUGGUAGAAAACAACUCCAGUUGUAUCAUAUACCCUCUUUGUCAUUUUUUGUGAUGCUGAUAUAGGUUUAUGUGCAUUCUGUUUGAGAUUGGCCAUCUCUAUUCACACUUUGCUGUGUAUCAAACCCCAGAAAUCUUAAGAACAGAAACGGCCAUACCCUUUCUUCAAAGGAAGGUCAAUCAGACUGCUGAAUAUCUCUGUCCCAAAUCCAGUCCUAUAGCUUUGUUUAAUGACAAUAAAAUAUGUUCCUAAUGUUUAACAUUCCUAAAUGUAUUACACAUUUUAAUGCUUUGCUUAUAGUGCUGUUACCCCCCAUGGAAGAACCAUGUCAAUUUGUUGAUACAAUGUCUCUAGCCUCUCUACCGUGAUGUCUCUUUUCAUUUGCUUGCAAUUUUAUCCAUGCUACAUUCCUGCAGCAGGAACAUUUACUGGAAAACUGCUAGCUCCUGUCUUUCCACACAAUCAGAUUAGAACUAGUGUCUACCUAUCUACUACCUCUAUCCAUGAA
Molecule: long non-coding RNA, 739 nt
Organism: Parus major (Great Tit)
Lineage: Eukaryota; Metazoa; Chordata; Aves; Passeriformes; Paridae
Exons: 2
Source: RefSeq, a predicted model, not a curated record